This is a long non-coding RNA of Talpa occidentalis (Iberian mole), 553 nucleotides long. RefSeq lists it as uncharacterized. NCBI's taxonomy places the organism in Eukaryota, Metazoa, Chordata, Mammalia, Eulipotyphla, Talpidae. The record is from RefSeq and is a predicted model, not a curated record. The transcript is spliced from 3 exons.
ACUGAUGAUGGCUGCCGAUGGGCUGUGUGGAGAAAGAUUCUGAGGCGGUAUCUGAGAUCUGCAGGAAAAAGCACUGCGCUCAGUUCAGGAUGCUGACCAGAUUUCAUGUUGUUUCUAAACCCAGAGUGACUCUGCCCACCCAGGGGACGUUCGGCAGUGCCUAGAAACAUUUAGACCGUCAUUGUGAAUGUCACCCACUGGCGUGGGUGCUACUGGCAUCUGGGUGGUAGAGGUUAUGGUGGCUUCUGAACAUCCUACAGGACGCAGACGGCCCUCCACAACAAAACAGAUCAAAAUGUCUACAGUGCCCAGGUCUUCACCAGGAAGCUCCAUGUUAACAUUCAGCUCUCCAGAAAAAGUCACCUCCCCAGAGAAGACGCCCACCCCCAGCCACCCAAACUAAAGUCACCUUCCAUGCCCUCACUAGUUUUCUCUUUCUUAUAAUUCUCACUCCUUGAAAUCAGCUCAUUUUUGUAUUGCCUCACCACUCCCUCGCCCAAAAAUUAAAAGUUCAUAAGAGAGUUGUCUUUUUCAUCACUUCAUCACUCCAUCA